RNAcentral lists this small RNA (838 nucleotides) under Pongo abelii (Sumatran orangutan). RNAcentral describes it as "processed transcript". Lineage: Eukaryota; Metazoa; Chordata; Mammalia; Primates; Hominidae. The record is from RNAcentral.
UCUCUACCUCAACUUUUUCAUCUUAAAAAAACAAAUAGGGUUGUGUGUGUGGCUGGUGGUCAUAAGGUCCUUUCUGGCUCUAAUAACCUGAGCUUCUGUUAUGAAGCUGGGACCCUUAGAGCCUCAGAAUGAUCCUCUGUUUGUGAAGCCCCCAUCAGGUGCUAAGCACCAUGGUGGCACUUAGCUGAAGCUCCUCUGUAACUCCUGUGGGCCCUGCCUUGCCCACCCCCUGCAGCUGCUGCAGUGCUCCUGAGCAGCACAGGCCUGAUGGAGCUUCUGGAGAAGAUGCUGGCACUCACCUUGGCAAAGGCAGAUUCUCCCAGGACUGCACUCCUCUGCUCUGCCUGGCUGCUCACUGCCUCCUUCUCUGCCCAGCAGCACAGUGGCAGUUUGCAGGUUCACCAGACACUCUCUGUGGAAAUGGACCAAGUAUUGAAGGCUCUCAGCUUUCCAAAGAAAAAGGCUGCACUACUCUCAGAAGGACCCUCUAUUGUCCCAGGCCUGUGUUGGCUGCCUGGAGGCCUUGCUUGACUACCUGGAUGCCCGGAGCCCAGACAUCGCUCUCCACGUGGCCUCCCAGCCUUGGAAUCGGUUUUUGCUGUUUACCCUCUUGGAUGCUGGAGAUAAUUCCUUCCUCAGACCUGAGAUUUUGAGGCUCAUGACCCUGUUUAUGCGGUACCGGAGUAGCAGUGUCCUCUCUCAUGAAGAGGUGGGUGAUGUUCUGCAAGGUGUGGCUUUGGCUGACCUGUCUACCCUCUCGAACACCACACUCCAGGCCCUGCAUGGCUUCUUCCAGCAGCUCCAGAGCAUGGGACACCUGGCUGACCACAGCAUGGCC